RNAcentral lists this ribosomal RNA (497 nucleotides) under uncultured bacterium. Its description in RNAcentral is "partial 16S ribosomal RNA". It matches the Rfam family "Bacterial small subunit ribosomal RNA", at positions 28 to 507 of the family's 1533-position model. The record is from RNAcentral.
GAUGAACGCUGGCGGCGUGCCUAAUACAUGCAAGUCGAGCGAACGGACGAGAAGCUUGCUUCUCUGAUGUUAGCGGCGGACGGGUGAGUAACACGUGGAUAACCUACCUAUAAGACUGGGCUAACUUCGGGAAACCGGAGCUAAUACCGGAUAAUAUUUUGAACCGCAUGGUUCAAAAGUGAAAGACGGUCUUGCUGUCACUUAUAGAUGGAUCCGCGCUGCAUUAGCUAGUUGGUAAGGUAACGGCUUACCAAGGCAACGAUGCAUAGCCGACCUGAGAGGGUGAUCGGCCACACUGGUAGUGAGACACGGUCCAGACUCCUACGGGAGGCAGCAGUAGGGAAUCUUCCGCGAUGUGCGAAAGCCUGACGGAGCAACGCCGCGUGAGUGAUGAAGGGCUUCGGAUCGUAAGACUCUGUUAGUAGGGAAGAACAUAUGUGUAAGUAACUGUGCACAGCUUGACGGUACCUAAUCAGAAAGCCACGGCUAACUACGUG